This is a long non-coding RNA of Brassica napus (rape), 1104 nucleotides long. RefSeq lists it as uncharacterized. The transcript has 3 exons. Lineage: Eukaryota; Viridiplantae; Streptophyta; Magnoliopsida; Brassicales; Brassicaceae. The record is from RefSeq and is a predicted model, not a curated record.
CUGAAAAAGGCAGCGUCUUGUGGGGUUAACAAGCUGUCCGUCGGCGAGUAGGUGAGGCCAGCGACCAUUGGCAUUACCCGGAGCAACCACAACUUCAAGCUUUCUGACUAUACAAUGUCCAUACGCUUCUGGGUAUUCUCAAACUUUGGAUAUCAAAUUUUUUUUUUCCGUUCUAAUCUCUAUGGAGGAUUGAGGGUGUGAUUUGAUCAUGUGUUUAGAUCGAUCAAUUUUUUUUUCAUUCUAAUCUCUAUGGAGGAUUAAGGGUAUGAUUUGAUCAUGUGUUUAGAUCGGUUAUCUAGAAUAGCGUUGCCAAUAUCUGAUAAACUACAAGAGUGGUCAGUUCCUUUACUUUUUAGGAUAAACUUCUUAAGUUUCUGUAAGAAAAAUCACUAACCUAAUCCAAUUGUACAUGUCGUUCUUUGUGAGCACUUGGAAAUGUUGAAAAGGCUUCAAAAGAGAGUUUUGUUGCAGAAACUCCAAAUCUAAUGACCACUUUUUGUGCAAACUGAUGAAUGUAGAGCUAUGGUUACAGCAGGUAGGCUCCCAUAUUUGAUGGUGAUUACUGGCCAGGCACAUCAAAAGAAGAUGGUAGGAAGGACAUUAACUCGGUGAGACCAUUCGAAUGAGGACUUUCCCAUGGUCCACUUGCAGCCUUCUUACACACAUUGCUUAUGGUGAUGGUAUCUGGAAUCGUUGGGUCAGUAGUCAGUGAAAACAUUUUCAGAUUUGUGAUAAGUGUUAUGAGGCUGAACAGAUGCAUGAAGACAUGGAAAGUCACAUCUGUCUGAUCUUCAAGACCAAUUCCACUGCAGAUUCUUUGCAUGCCGACAAAUUUGUUGCUCUCGGUAAAUCUCGGGUUCAUCUGAUUUCUUUUUUUCCUACUAAAUAUGGGCUUUCAUUUGGUUUCAUUAGUUAGGGCUCCUCUUCUUUGGCAUGUUUGUAUUUUCAACGGAUCAAAGACAUCCCACUAAAAAGAGAUGUAUCUUUUUAUUUCUUUAAAGUUUGAUAGCAUUUCAGCUCUAUAAAAAAAGACAGGGAAAGAUAUCAUGUCCCACUAAAAAUAGAUGUAUCUUUUUAUUUCUUUAAAGUUUAACAGCAUUUCAG